GAGGUAGCUCAGUUGGGUAGGACAUGGUGCUAAUAACACCAAGGUUGCAGGUUUGAAUCCCGUAUGGAACA
Podarcis lilfordi (Lilford's wall lizard) is the source of this 71-nucleotide non-coding RNA. Lineage: Eukaryota; Metazoa; Chordata; Lepidosauria; Squamata; Lacertidae. The record is from the annotation of a GenBank genome assembly.